GACUGGCCUGUUACAGUGUGUUUACAACUCGUUGAUCACAAUCAGUUACAGAUUUCUUUAUCCCUUUUCCACUCCCACUGCUUAUUUGAUUAGCCUUUA
This 99-nucleotide non-coding RNA is filed under the name Theropithecus gelada (gelada). Lineage: Eukaryota; Metazoa; Chordata; Mammalia; Primates; Cercopithecidae. The record is from RNAcentral.